This 497-nucleotide ribosomal RNA is filed under the name uncultured bacterium. RNAcentral describes it as "partial 16S ribosomal RNA". It matches the Rfam family "Bacterial small subunit ribosomal RNA", at positions 28 to 507 of the family's 1533-position model. The record is from RNAcentral.
GAUGAACGCUGGCGGCGUGCCUAAUACAUGCAAGUCGAGCGAACAGACGAGGAGCUUACUCCUCUGACGUUAGCGGCGGACGGGUGAGUAACACGUGGAUAACCUACCUAUAAGACUGGGAUAACUUCGGGAAACCGGAGCUAAUACCGGAUAACAUGUUGAACCGCAUGGUUCAACAGUGAAAGACGGUCUUGCUGUCACUUAUAGAUGGAUCCGCGUCGCAUUAGCUAGUUGGUAAGGUAACGGCUUACCAAGGCAACGAUGCGUAGCCGACCUGAGAGGGUGAUCGGCCACACUGGAACGGAGACACGGUCCAGACUCCUACGGGAGGCAGCAGUAGGGAAUCUGCCGCAAUGGGCGAAAGCCUGACGGAGCAACGCCGCGUGAGUGAAGAAGGUCUUCGGAUCGUAAAACUCUGUUAUUAGGGAAGAACAAAUGUGUAAGUAACUAUGCACGUCUUGACGGUACCUAAUCAGAAAGCCACGGCUAACUACGUG